This 118-nucleotide ribosomal RNA is filed under the name Danio rerio (zebrafish). Lineage: Eukaryota; Metazoa; Chordata; Actinopteri; Cypriniformes; Danionidae. The record is from RNAcentral.
UUAGCCGGUAGUUAGCUCACUGCAACUCUCACAUGGUCGCCCACUGCAGCUAAGCAGUGCUGCAUCUGGUCAGUACCUGGAUGGGAGACCACUUAGGAAAGCUAGGUUGCUGCCUAAA